UACGUAGGGUGCAAGCGUUUGUCCGGAAUUAUUGGGCGUAAAGAGCUCGUAGGCGGUUUGUCGCGUCUGCUGUGAAAACCCGAGGCUCAACCUCGGGCCUGCAGUGGGUACGGGCAGACUAGAGUGCGGUAGGGGGAGAUUGGAAUUCCUGGUGUAGCGGUGGAAUGCGCAGAUAUCAGGAGGAACACCGAUGGCGAAGGCAGAUCUCUGGGCCGUAACUGACGCUGAGGAGCGAAAGCAUGGGGAGCGAACAGG
RNAcentral lists this ribosomal RNA (255 nucleotides) under uncultured bacterium. RNAcentral describes it as "partial 16S ribosomal RNA". It matches the Rfam family "Bacterial small subunit ribosomal RNA", at positions 524 to 776 of the family's 1533-position model. The record is from RNAcentral.